AGCAUCAGCUUUCAGAAUAUUUCCAAAUCAGCUUUGACAUGGAUAUUUACAGUUGUUUCUUGGUAAGGAGACUCUUGUUUUAGGGAUAAUUGUAAAAAUACAGUUGAAUUUAAAUAAAAAAGUAACCUGCAAGAAUGCGAUCCUGCUUUUAAAAAGGCAAUAGAAAAAAAUGGACAAAUGGGUAGAUAAUUAGGUAAUGCAUGCAAAAGAAAAACUUAUAGCGAAAAGAGAAUAUACAGCAUAUGUAGUAUGAUACAUUUUUGCAAACAGAAAUGAUUUAAGCAUGUGUGCAAUCUUGUUUAUAAUUCAUUGGAUGAGUGGUUAAAUGAAAGCUAGUAUAUCCAAUCUGAAAUAAUUAAAGUAAGACUUCAAAAAUUAAAAUUUAGAAUUGAAAUUUGGGAAUAAUGGUAAAGAGACAACUACCCGACCCAAGUGUACACAACAGUAGAAGGCAUCCAAUGGGUCGUCAACGCAGCCAAAACAUCCGGCACCCGGAGGAGUUAGUUAGCUGUCCCCUUAAUAUAUUGUGUACAGUGAAAUUAAACGCCACACUAAACUCCAAAUCAUGUAAAUGAGCUAAAAAUAAAAUAAUAAAAUACUAUAGACUAACAAAUGCCAGAGACUUGGGAUACGCGCCAAAAUGCAGUGGGGUUAAACAUUGUUUUGUGAUAUUUCAACCCUCCCCCUAUAGCUCUAGCCAAUUUCGAAUAACAAAAAAACACAUAGCAUUACACACAUUACAACUCAGUUUAAAAGAAGUCUGAGUCCAAUGUUGAUACAUGUUUAGAACACAAUACAGUAUGCUUAUUUUAUCUGGGUAUAUGUUUGUCAACUAAAAUUUUCUUUUUACUUAAUUAAAUUUCAGGCUAUAUCCAUAUUGAAGAUAUCUGAUGCUGUGUUUAGCUUUCAGUGUCCUGUUCAGUCACACUGGAAACAUAGAGCUGACAAUAUUUGUGGCUCUAACAGCAGUUACUUUUGCUUAUAUGAUAAGAAUAAUAAAACAUUUGUGGAAUUUUGUAGAGAUCAUCCCGAUUUUGAAGCACCAGGUAUAUACUAAUUAUUUUUAAAUACAUACCAACUUAACUGUCUAUGUCUUUAAAAUAGCUAAGAGGGUCGUAAUGGGUGUACCUUCAUGACGAAAAAAGGUAAAAAUUCUUGCCAAAUGACGUUAACAGUAGUUUUUGGUGUAUGACGAUAAAAUGUACACUUUCUUUUAGACGAUAAAAACAUCGACUGAUUUUGACGAAUGGUGUUAUUUUUUUCUUAAAAAAAAAACGGUAACGAUAAUUAUUUGAGACCUCUGACGAAUCACGAUUAGGAUAUUUUGACGAAUCACGGUAAAAAAUUUACCAAUUUGACGUUACAUAUAAUAAUAGCCGAAAAUUACCGUUUGACGCCUGACGUUAAAGGGCAUUACUACAUGUACCUCCAGCUAACAGUACAUCCACUGACAUACUCUAAAAAAUGUUCUAACAUCUAAAAUAAAAGGUCACCAGCAAAUGGUUCAGAAAUUAAAGGGUGUUGAUAUUUUGUUGGGGUCAUAAAGGUUGGGCUAAAUGGUCAAUCUAAUUCUAUAAUAAUAGAGUGAGAUGCAAUAAUAGCUGUCGUUAUUAAGUUUUUAAGAAAAUUGCUCAUAAAUUUCCAAAUAAUUCUAAUAUUUCUAUAUAAGAACAUUUAUACAAUUGAAAGACAAAAUUAAAUUUAAAACUGAAAUUGCAUGUAUUUGCUUUAACAUCCUCUUUUCUCUUAAUAGUGAUUAAACUACCAGGCUUAUGAUUUAAUACGCCAGACGCGCGUUUCGUCUACAUAAGACUCAUCUGUGACGCUCAGAUCAAAAUAGUUAGAAAGCCAAACAAGUACAAAGUUGAAGAGCAUUGCUAACCCAAAUAAAAAAAAAAGUUGUGCCAAAUAAGAAAGGAUCAGAAAAUCCUUAGUCUCUAAAUCGCUUCAGAUUAAAGUGUUUGGUCAAGGUAGCUUUUGAUGAAGUUGAAGUCCUAUAUUAUCAACUUGAAACUUAGUACAGAUGUUCCCUCUGUUAUGAUCCUUCUUAUUUUAAUGUCAAAUUAGAGUUUUUACUCCAAUUUCAACAUGGCAUUCAUAAAACAACGGUAUGGCUAAUCCUGAUUGGUCGAUAUGUGUACCCGUUAUUUUUUUAAUGAGAUACUUCUUGCACUCUGCAUUAAGUCAAAGGCAAAAUGAUAUAUUUUUCCUUAGCCCUAACGGAACACAGAUUUAGGACCAAAACGUACUGUCCAAUUAUAGCAAAGUCUCGUUUAAAAGAUCAACUUUUUAAAGUCAGCAUCUCGAUAAAGGCUUUCCUUUUUCCCAAUGCGGAAAUAAUGUUUUUAUAAAAUGCAAUUUGUUACAUCAUUCUGUAGUUUAUGCCUGUUGCCCCUCUUCUAUUUUAUCCAGCAAGAUGAUUGGAUACAAUUUAUGAACUACCGUUUUUUGUCGAGCCUGCAAAUUUUCAGAAAGCUCGACACAGGGAUAGUGAUCUGGUGGAGGCGGAAGCAGCGUUAGCUAACUUCAUAAAAGCUUCAUAUUUAGGAAGGUAAAAGACCUCGAUGCUUCAUACAUUGUAUAAUUAUACAUGUAUAUGUCUCGUUACGAAGUUUUCGUCUCUGUCACAUGUCCACAUUUUCAUGGUUCAGUAUCUACUUGAAAAAAAAAAGAUUGUUUGUAAUGUUAAUUUCUCUCUUAUUGUGAGUGAUAGGAUAACCAUAUUUAGUAUGUGUCAACCUUGCAAGUUCUCAUGCCUGUCAGUCAGUUUUCACUUGACUUCGAUUUCAUGGAUCAGUGAGUGAACACGGUUAAGUGUUGGUGGUCAAUAUAAAAAAGAAGAUGUGGUAUGAUUGCCAAUGAGACAACUAUCCACAAAAGACCAAAAUGACACACACAUUAACAACUUGUAUAGGUCACCGUACGGCCUUCAACAAUGAGCAAAGCCCAUACCGCAUAGUCAGCUAUAAAAGGCCCCGAUAAGACAAUGUAAAACAAUUCAAACGAGAAAAAUAACGGCCUCAUUUAUGUAAAAAAAUGAAAGAAGUCCAUAUCUCGUAUACUAUAAGCAAUAGGUCUAAUAUAUUGAGUGUAUGGAAGGACUAUAAGGUGUACAUGCCUAACUGGCAGGUGUCAUCUGCCCUUGACCUCAUGUUCCUGGUUCAGUGGUUAUAGCAGUUAAGUCUGUUUCUUAGAAACUAUAAGCAAUCGGUCAACUAUAUUAAGUGUUUUUGAACGAUUGUAAGAUUUAUAUGUAUUUCUUGUUUGGUUUAUAUGACCUUGACAUCAUUCUUCUGGAACAUAUUAAGUUAACGUGAUAGUUGCAGUAAUUAAAGCUUUAUAUUUUACAUUAUCAACAUAAAAUCAAUUAAUGUGUGCACUCUUGUUGUAAGAUAGCCUAAGUAACAGAAAAAAAUAUGUGACAUUAAAACAACAAUUGAUAAAAAGGGACUACUUUUCCAUAACACCUGUCAGGGUUGGCAAAGUACUACCUGCCCGGGAAACCCAUAUCACAUGUGGUUCAAGAUAUUAUUUUUGUUUCUCAUAUAUCAUGAUUAUUGUAUUUGUACAAUUGUUUUCCAGUAAAUUUGUAUUUGAUGGUAAAAUAUUUUUAUUUGCACUCAGGAAAAAAAAUAAUAGUUGAAGGAUCAACUCAAGAAACACUUCAAGGUGCUAAAUGCAGUAGUGAUUUCUACCAACCUUUUAAAUUCGUGACUAAUGGAAGCUAUGGCUGUGUUUUAACAAAAUCUUACUGCAACGAAGAAGGACAAGUUGUUUAUGGAUACGGUACCACGAAAAAUGAUACAUUAUGCCGCUGUGACUAUACAAGAGGAUAUUAUUUUACUAUACCACCAAAACAAACAUGUUAUUGUGUACCUUCUGAAGAAGAUUGUUCCUGUCAUCUUAAGUUAUGUCCACCUAACUAUAAUUUGACACAAGGUAUGUAGGUUAUAUAA
This 3956-nucleotide long non-coding RNA is filed under the name Mytilus galloprovincialis (Mediterranean mussel). The record is from RNAcentral. Lineage: Eukaryota; Metazoa; Mollusca; Bivalvia; Mytilida; Mytilidae.